UACAGAGGUCUCAAGCGUUGUUCGGAUUCAUUGGGCGUAAAGGGCGCGUAGGCGGCGGGGUAAGUCGGGUGUGAAAUCUCAGAGCUCAACUCUGAAACUGCACUCGAUACUGCUCUGCUUGAGGACUGGAGAGGAGACUGGAAUUCUCGGUGUAGCGGUGAAAUGCGUAGAUAUCGAGAGGAACACCUGCGGCGAAGGCGGGUUGCUGGGCUGAUACUGACGUGAGGCGCGAAAGCCAGGGGAGCGAACGGGG
Molecule: ribosomal RNA, 253 nt
Filed under: uncultured bacterium
Lineage: Bacteria
Description: partial 16S ribosomal RNA
Rfam family: Bacterial small subunit ribosomal RNA
Source: RNAcentral